RNAcentral lists this ribosomal RNA (425 nucleotides) under uncultured bacterium. RNAcentral's name for it is "partial 16S ribosomal RNA". It matches the Rfam family "Bacterial small subunit ribosomal RNA", at positions 354 to 796 of the family's 1533-position model. The record is from RNAcentral.
GUGGGGAAUAUUGGACAAUGGGCGAAAGCCUGACGCAGCCAUGCCGCGUGAAUGAUGAAGGUCUUAGGAUUGUAAAAUUCUUUCACCGGGGACGAUAAUGACGGUACCCGGAGAAGAAGCUCCGGCUAACUUCGUGCCAGCAGCCGCGGUAAUACGAAGGGGGCUAGCGUUGCUCGGAAUUACUGGGCGUAAAGGGCGCGUAGGCGGACAGCUUAGUCAGAGGUGAAAGCCCAGGGCUCAACCUUGGAAUUGCCUUUGAUACUGGCUGUCUUGAGUUUGGGAGAGGUGAGUGGAACUCCGAGUGUAGAGGUGAAAUUCGUAGAUAUUCGGAAGAACACCAGUGGCGAAGGCGACUCACUGGCCCAAUACUGACGCUGAGGCGCGAAAGCGUGGGGAGCAAACAGGAUUAGAAACCCCAGUAGUCC